Molecule: long non-coding RNA, 554 nt
Organism: Xyrauchen texanus (razorback sucker)
Lineage: Eukaryota; Metazoa; Chordata; Actinopteri; Cypriniformes; Catostomidae
Exons: 3
Source: RefSeq, a predicted model, not a curated record
UAGAUAUUCAUCUGUCCACAGUUAGACAAACUGUCUAUAAAUGGAGAUGAUUUAGUACUAUAGAUACUCUCACUAGAAGUGACCGUUAGAUAUUCAUCCGUCCACAGUGAGACAAACUGUCUAUAAAUGGAGAUGAUUUAGUACUAUAGGUACUCUCACUAGAAGUGGCCGUUAGAUAUUCAUCUGUUCACAGUUAGACAAACUGUCUAUAAAUGGAGAUGAUUUAGUACUAUAGGUACUCUCACUAGAAGUGGCCGUUAGAUAUUCAUCUGUCCACAGUUAGACAAACUGUCUAUAAAUGGAGAUGAUUUAGUACUAUAGGUACUCUCACUAGAAGUGGCCGUUAGAUAUUCAUCUGUCCACAGUUAGACAAACUGUCUAUAAAUGGAGGUGAUUUAGUACUAUAGGUACUCUCACUAGAAGUGGCCGUUAGAUAUUCAUCUGUCCACAGUGAGACAAACUGUCUAUAAAUGGAGAUGAUUUAGUACUAUAGGUACUCUCACUAGAAGUGGCCGUUAGAUAUUCAUCUGUCCACAGUUAGACAAACUGUCUAU